RNAcentral lists this ribosomal RNA (1100 nucleotides) under Pseudomonas putida. RNAcentral's name for it is "bacterial LSU rRNA". It matches the Rfam family "Bacterial large subunit ribosomal RNA", at positions 1808 to 2902 of the family's 2925-position model. Lineage: Bacteria; Pseudomonadati; Pseudomonadota; Gammaproteobacteria; Pseudomonadales; Pseudomonadaceae. The record is from RNAcentral.
UAAAAACACAGCACUCUGCAAACACGAAAGUGGACGUAUAGGGUGUGACGCCUGCCCGGUGCCGGAAGGUUAAUUGAUGGGGUUAGCGCAAGCGAAGCUCUUGAUCGAAGCCCCGGUAAACGGCGGCCGUAACUAUAACGGUCCUAAGGUAGCGAAAUUCCUUGUCGGGUAAGUUCCGACCUGCACGAAUGGCGUAACGAUGGCGGCGCUGUCUCCACCCGAGACUCAGUGAAAUUGAAAUCGCUGUGAAGAUGCAGUGUAUCCGCGGCUAGACGGAAAGACCCCGUGAACCUUUACUAUAGCUUUGCACUGGACUUUGAAUUUGCUUGUGUAGGAUAGGUGGGAGGCUUUGAAGUGGGGACGCCAGUUCUCAUGGAGCCAUCCUUGAAAUACCACCCUGGCAACUUUGAGGUUCUAACUCAGGUCCGUUAUCCGGAUCGAGGACAGUGUAUGGUGGGUAGUUUGACUGGGGCGGUCUCCUCCCAAAGAGUAACGGAGGAGUACGAAGGUGCGCUCAGACCGGUCGGAAAUCGGUCGUAGAGUAUAAAGGCAAAAGCGCGCUUGACUGCGAGACAAACACGUCGAGCAGGUACGAAAGUAGGUCUUAGUGAUCCGGUGGUUCUGUAUGGAAGGGCCAUCGCUCAACGGAUAAAAGGUACUCCGGGGAUAACAGGCUGAUACCGCCCAAGAGUUCAUAUCGACGGCGGUGUUUGGCACCUCGAUGUCGGCUCAUCACAUCCUGGGGCUGAAGCCGGUCCCAAGGGUAUGGCUGUUCGCCAUUUAAAGUGGUACGCGAGCUGGGUUUAGAACGUCGUGAGACAGUUCGGUCCCUAUCUGCCGUGGACGUUUGAGAUUUGAGAGGGGCUGCUCCUAGUACGAGAGGACCGGAGUGGACGAACCUCUGGUGUUCCGGUUGUCACGCCAGUGGCAUUGCCGGGUAGCUAUGUUCGGAAGAGAUAACCGCUGAAAGCAUCUAAGCGGGAAACUUGCCUCAAGAUGAGAUCUCACUGGGAUCUUGAAUCCCCUAAAGGGCCGUCGAAGACUACGACGUUGAUAGGUUGGGUGUGUAAGCGCUGUGAGGCGUUGAGCUAACCAAUACU